ACCUGGCUGGCUCAAAUGGUAGAGCAUGUGACUCUUGAUCUCAGGGUUGUGAGUUUAAGCCCCGUGUUGGGUG
Molecule: transfer RNA, 73 nt
Filed under: Mustela putorius furo (domestic ferret)
Lineage: Eukaryota; Metazoa; Chordata; Mammalia; Carnivora; Mustelidae
Rfam family: tRNA
About the family: Transfer RNA (tRNA) molecules are approximately 80 nucleotides in length.
Source: Rfam by way of RNAcentral